ACUACGAUCUCGAUGGUCAUUUGAAGGUAAAUCGACGUGCACUCUUCUCGAAGCCUCAGAACUAGUCAUCGUUUUACCAGUAGCUUCAACAUCCAGUUCAUUUGCUUUCCAUCUGUCACGUUGCAUAUCAAUUUUUUUCAAAAGUCUCUUUAAUGGAUCUACUAAGGAGAAACGUUUUCAUUUCCAUGUUCAGUGAUUUUGGAUGGAGAUGCGGCAACGAAACUAUGAUGCAAGCAUUGAAAAGAAAAAGCAGAUUUAUAAGAUGAAAAUUUAAUUAGUAUUGUAAUGUAUACUAAAUUAUAAUCUCACGACAUUUUACGUUGCAAAUGAAUUAUGUACAUACAAUGGAAGUUCAAAAUACAAUUACAAAUAGA
Molecule: long non-coding RNA, 374 nt
Organism: Xenia sp. Carnegie-2017
Lineage: Eukaryota; Metazoa; Cnidaria; Anthozoa; Malacalcyonacea; Xeniidae
Exons: 2
Source: RefSeq, a predicted model, not a curated record